UACGAGUGCUCCAAGCGUUAUCCGGAAUUAUUGGGCGUAAAGGGUGUGUAGGCGGUCAUGUUAGUCUUCUGUUAAAUUCUUCGGCUUAACCGGGGGUCUGCAGGGGAAACGGCAUGACUUGAGGAUGCGAGAGGUGAAUGGAACUCAUGGAGUAGGGGUGAAAUCCGUUGAUAUCAUGGGGAACACCAAAUGCGAAGGCAGUUCACUGGCGCACUCCUGACGCUGAAACACGAAAGCGUAGGUAGCGAAUGGG
RNAcentral lists this ribosomal RNA (253 nucleotides) under uncultured bacterium. Its description in RNAcentral is "partial 16S ribosomal RNA". It matches the Rfam family "Bacterial small subunit ribosomal RNA", at positions 524 to 776 of the family's 1533-position model. The record is from RNAcentral.